RNAcentral lists this ribosomal RNA (253 nucleotides) under uncultured bacterium. RNAcentral describes it as "partial 16S ribosomal RNA". It matches the Rfam family "Bacterial small subunit ribosomal RNA", at positions 524 to 776 of the family's 1533-position model. The record is from RNAcentral.
UACGGGGGGGGCAAGCGUUGUUCGGAAUUACUGGGCGUAAAGGGCUCGUAGGCGGCCAACUAAGUCGGACGUGAAAUCCCUCAGCUUAACCGGGGAACUGCGUCCGAUACUGGAUGGCUUGAGUUUGGGAGAGGGAUGCGGAAUUCCAGGUGUAGCGGUGAAAUGCGUAGAUAUCUGGAGGAACACCGGUGGCGAAGGCGGCAUCCUGGACCAACACUGACGCUGAUGAGCGAAAGCCAGGGGAGCAAACGGG